AUUUUCGACACGAGUGGCGCUGGCAUACAUCAGUCAGCCGUAUGCGACUUGUGGUGUACUUGUGGUGUAUGUGGUGUAGUACUUCUUGUCAUCUUGUCAUCAUCAUCAUAUCCGUCGUGACAGAUUCUUUAACCUGAUCUUUAUUCGUCAGUCAUUAACAAUAAUCUUGACAUAAGGAUUGCAUUGAACAUUGAGCUACAAAAUAAAUUAUGAUCAGAAAUAUUUAAAUAGUCCGUCAGUGGAGGAGACAGACGUUGAGCUGCAAAUAGAUAAUAAAAUAUCAUUACAAGAACACGAUGCCAAUAUUGAA
Solenopsis invicta (red fire ant) is the source of this 310-nucleotide long non-coding RNA. RefSeq lists it as uncharacterized. The record is from RefSeq and is a predicted model, not a curated record. Lineage: Eukaryota; Metazoa; Arthropoda; Insecta; Hymenoptera; Formicidae. The transcript is spliced from 2 exons.